GACGAACGCUGGCGGCGUGCUUAACACAUGCAAGUCGAACGGAAAGGCCCUGCUCGCAGGGUACUCGAGUGGCGAACGGGUGAGUAACACGUGGGUGAUCUGCCCUGCACUUCGGGAUAAGCUUGGGAAACUGGGUCUAAUACCGGAUAGGAACCAUCUUUAGUGUGGUGGUUGGAAAGUUUUUUCGGUGUAGGAUGAGCUCGCGGCCUAUCAGCUUGUUGGUGGGGUAAUGGCCUACCAAGGCGGCGACGGGUAGCCGGCCUGAGAGGGUGUACGGCCACAUUGGGACUGAGAUACGGCCCAGACUCCUACGGGAGGCAGCAGUGGGGAAUAUUGCACAAUGGGCGCAAGCCUGAUGCAGCGACGCCGCGUGGGGGAUGAAGGCCUUCGGGUUGUAAACUCCUUUCGCUAGGGACGAAGCUUUGUUGUGACGGUACCUAGAUAAGAAGCACCGGCUAACUACGUG
This 466-nucleotide ribosomal RNA is filed under the name uncultured bacterium. RNAcentral's name for it is "partial 16S ribosomal RNA". It matches the Rfam family "Bacterial small subunit ribosomal RNA", at positions 28 to 507 of the family's 1533-position model. The record is from RNAcentral.